GGUAAUUUUCCGCAAUGGGCGAAAGCCUGACGGAGCAAGACCGCGUGGGGGAAGAAGGCUCUUGGGUUGUAAACCCCUUUUCUCUGGGAAGAAAGUUGUGAAAGCAGCCUGACGGUACCAGAGGAAUCAGCAUCGGCUAACUCCGUGCCAGCAGCCGCGGUAAGACGGAGGAUGCAAGCGUUAUCCGGAAUGAUUGGGCGUAAAGCGUCCGCAGGUGGCAGUUCAAGUCUGCUGUCAAAGACCGGGGCUCAACCUCGGAAAGGCAGUGGAAACUGAACAGCUAGAGUAUGGUAGGGGCAAAGGGAAUUCCUGGUGUAGCGGUGAAAUGCGUAGAGAUCAGGAAGAACAUCGGUGGCGAAGGCGCUUUGCUGGACCAUAACUGACACUCAGGGACGAAAGCUAGGGGAGCGAAUGGGAUUAGAUACCCCAGUAGUCCUAGCCGUAAACGAUGGAUACUAGGUGUUGUCUGUAUCGACCCGGACAGUGCCGUAGCUAACGCG
RNAcentral lists this ribosomal RNA (500 nucleotides) under uncultured cyanobacterium. RNAcentral describes it as "bacterial SSU rRNA". It matches the Rfam family "Bacterial small subunit ribosomal RNA", at positions 357 to 859 of the family's 1533-position model. Lineage: Bacteria; Bacillati; Cyanobacteriota. The record is from RNAcentral.